GAAAAAUUUACGGAGACUAAGCUUGUAGAAGGCAUGGGGUUUCCCUGUUUGGACGAGGGUUCGAAUCCCUCCGGCUCCACUU
This 82-nucleotide transfer-messenger RNA is filed under the name Crocinitomicaceae bacterium. Its description in RNAcentral is "partial transfer-messenger RNA". It matches the Rfam family "transfer-messenger RNA", at positions 291 to 374 of the family's 374-position model. Rfam says of the family: Bacterial tmRNA, also known as 10Sa RNA or SsrA, is named for its dual tRNA and mRNA-like properties. Its role is to liberate the mRNA from a stalled ribosome. The record is from RNAcentral. Lineage: Bacteria; Pseudomonadati; Bacteroidota; Flavobacteriia; Flavobacteriales; Crocinitomicaceae.